GACGAACGCUGGCGGCGUGCCUAAUACAUGCAAGUAGAACGCUGAAGAGAGGAGCUUGCUCUUCUUGGAUGAGUUGCGAACGGGUGAGUAACGCGUAGGUAACCUGCCAUGUAGCGGGGGAUAACUAUUGGAAACGAUAGCUAAUACCGCAUAACAAUGGAUGACACAUGUCAUUUAUUUGAAAGGGGCAAUUGCUCCACUACAAGAUGGACCUGCGUUGUAUUAGCUAGUAGGUGAGGUAAUGGCUCACCUAGGCGACGAUACAUAGCCGACCUGAGAGGGUGAUCGGCCACACUGGGACUGAGACACGGCCCAGACUCCUACGGGAGGCAGCAGUAGGGAAUCUUCGGCAAUGGGGGCAACCCUGACCGAGCAACGCCGCGUGAGUGAAGAAGGUUUUCGGAUCGUAAAGCUCUGUUGUAAGUCAAGAACGGGUGUGAGAGUGGAAAGUUCACACUGUGACGGUAGCUUACCAGAAAGGGACGGCUAACUACGUG
RNAcentral lists this ribosomal RNA (497 nucleotides) under uncultured bacterium. Its description in RNAcentral is "partial 16S ribosomal RNA". It matches the Rfam family "Bacterial small subunit ribosomal RNA", at positions 28 to 507 of the family's 1533-position model. The record is from RNAcentral.